GGAAGUAAAAGUCGUACAAGGUCUCCGUAGGUGAACCUGCGGAGGGAUCAUUACAGAGUUCAUGCCCUACCGGGUAGAUCUCCCACCCUAUGUUAUUAUUACUUUGUUGCUUUGGCGGGCCGUUAGGCUCCGGCCCGACUACCGGCCCCGGCUGGUAAGCGCCCGCCAGAGGACCCAAAACCCUGAAUAUUAGUGUCGUCUGAGUACUAUAUAAUAGUUAAAACUUUCAACAACGGAUCUCUUGGUUCUG
This 250-nucleotide unclassified non-coding RNA is filed under the name plant metagenome. RNAcentral's name for it is "partial contains small subunit ribosomal RNA, internal transcribed spacer 1, and 5.8S ribosomal RNA". The stretch from base 1 to 53 matches the Rfam family "Eukaryotic small subunit ribosomal RNA", at positions 1778 to 1831 of the family's 1831-position model. The record is from RNAcentral.